CAGCAGUGGCAGUCUGAGUCAAGGGGGCGGAGCUCCGGGGGAGACAGCUGGUACACCCUCAGACUCAGAGGAAGUUACCAAAACAGACUCAGAACCCGCAAAACCGAAGACGAGCAAAGACAAGCCUUCCCCCCACUUGGAGGUGCAAUUCUCCGACUCCACGGCCAACUUCAUAGUGAAGAUCUACUAUGCGGAGGAGUUUGCUCGUCUCCGUGCCACCAUAUUCCCGGCAGGUGAAGACGCGUUUGUGCGCUCGCUCAGCCGCUGUGUGCAGUGGGCUGCACGAGGUGGCAAAUCUGGCUUCCAAUUUUGCCAAAACAAAAGAUGACAGAUUUAUACUUAAGGAGAUGUCGCGCACAGAGACCCACCCGUUCAUGGACUCUGCGCCGCAAUACUUCGACUACAUGGACAGAUGCGCGGCGGCCGGGUCACCGACACUGCUGGGCAAGAUAGUGGGUGUGUACCGUGUUAUCUACCGCAGCACCACCUCCAACGCCACGUUCCGCUCCAAUCUGCUGGUCAUGGAGAACCUGUUUUACAACCGGUCAGUCCGACACAAGUUUGACCUGAAGGGCUCUGUUCGCAACAGGCUGGUCAAUCCCCUGGAGCAAGGUGGAGAGAUCGUGCUGCUUGAUGAGAACCUAAUCAAUAUGACCUGUGACAACCCUCUGUACAUCCUCCCACACUCCAAGACUGUGCUGAUGCAAGCAAUUCAGUCUGACACCCAGUUCCUGGCCACUCAGGCUGUCAUGGACUACUCUCUGCUGGUGGGGCUUGACGAGACCAACAAGGAACUGGUGGUCGGCAUUAUAGGUAACUAUUGUAUAACACUAUACACUACAACUGUAUGUUCCUGGCCACUCAGGCUGUCAUGGACUACUCUCUGCUGGUGGGGCUUGACGAGACCAACAAGGAACUGGUGGUCGGCAUUAUAGGUAACUAUUGUAUAACACUAUACACUACAACUGUAUGUUCCUGGCCACUCAGGCUGUCAUGGACUACUCUCUGCUGGUGGGGCUUGACGAGACCAACAAGGAACUGGUGGUCGGCAUUAUAGGUAACUAUUGUAUAACACUAUACACUACAACUGUAUGUUCCUGGCCACUCAGGCUGUCAUGGACUACUCUCUGCUGGUGGGGCUUGACGAGACCAACAAGGAACUGGUGGUCGGUAUUAUAGACUACAUAAGAACGUUUACAUGGGACAAGAGGCUGGAAACCAUGGUGAAAAAGAGUGGACUGCUG
RNAcentral lists this unclassified non-coding RNA (1244 nucleotides) under Homalodisca vitripennis (glassy-winged sharpshooter). RNAcentral's name for it is "putative 1-phosphatidylinositol 3-phosphate 5-kinase, transcript variant X1". The record is from RNAcentral. Lineage: Eukaryota; Metazoa; Arthropoda; Insecta; Hemiptera; Cicadellidae.